UUUGGCGUGGCCAGUCUGAAAAUAUGUUGCCGGGACUUUUAUGUGAGUGUGGUGACUUUGUGUGGCGAGAACGAAGGAGAGGAUUCCUUGUGGAGAAAUCUAACUGUGUGGAGUAGUCUUCUCGCUUUGCUGAUCCGUUCGUGAACUCUGGUGACCCUGGACCCUUUUCCCUCACCUCUAAACUGUGCAUGAGGAGUGUUAAAUAAAUAGUCCCUCCUCCGUCUCGUGACAGAAUAAUUCACCCACCGUCAUGGACUCGGCAGACUCAGUGUCCUCAGCUACACCCCCAAUCUCCCUGGAGGAGUUAUUGCAACGGCAUGAGCAAAUGUUAGUGCGACUCAGUGGAGAGGUGGCUACUCUGAUCCAGGCCAUCGCUCAACGGACCCUGUUGGCAGAGAACUCACCUCCCGCAGCACCCCCUCAGUGAGAAGGAGCGAGAGAGAGACAACUGGAGUGACGGAGUGGCUGCGUCCAGGGUAGGAGCCAGAAACUGCAGAGAAAUCACACUUGUUUAGGCUCCACAACAUCCCGGCGGCUAUAGUCUCCGACAGAGGACCUGAAGUCACCUCCCGAGUAUGGAAGGAGUUCUGCACAAUGCUGGGUGCUAAGGUACUCCUGGGACCACAUUCUACCUUCUUUGCCAUCAUCUUGGCCUUCAGCCCUCACCUUCAGCCCCCAAUCCCCAGUCGCAACCUGUGGUCUCCUGUCUGAGAUGAUCCUUCCAGUGAUUAAUGCAGGAGGGAGGAGGAGACCCUGCUGCCAGCCCAUAUUGAGAGCCAUUUUAAAUCUCUAGCCUGCUGUGGGGCUCAACUUGAGGGGAGGAUCUCCUAUUUCUGUGUCUUUUUAUUGUUAUUUUUUGCAUCUGGGUUGCAGUAAUCUACAGCUGAAAGCAUGC
Molecule: long non-coding RNA, 895 nt
Organism: Oreochromis aureus
Lineage: Eukaryota; Metazoa; Chordata; Actinopteri; Cichliformes; Cichlidae
Exons: 3
Source: RefSeq, a predicted model, not a curated record